AUUGAACGCUGGCGGAAUGCUUUACACAUGCAAGUCGAACGGCAGCACGGGGGCAACCCUGGUGGCGAGUGGCGAACGGGUGAGUAAUACAUCGGAACGUGCCCAGUCGUGGGGGAUAACGUAGCGAAAGCUACGCUAAUACCGCAUACGAUCUCUGGAUGAAAGCGGGGGACCGCAAGGCCUCGCGCGAUUGGAGCGGCCGAUGGCAGAUUAGGUAGUUGGUGGGGUAAAGGCUCACCAAGCCGACGAUCUGUAGCUGGUCUGAGAGGACGACCAGCCACACUGGGACUGAGACACGGCCCAGACUCCUACGGGAGGCAGCAGUGGGGAAUUUUGGACAAUGGGCGAAAGCCUGAUCCAGCCAUUCCGCGUGCAGGAUGAAGGCCCUCGGGUUGUAAACUGCUUUUGUACGGAACGAAACGGUCCUGGUUAAUACCUGGGGCUAAUGACGGUACCGUAAGAAUAAGCACCGGCUAACUACGUAGCCAGCAGCCGCGGU
Molecule: ribosomal RNA, 499 nt
Filed under: uncultured bacterium
Lineage: Bacteria
Description: bacterial SSU rRNA
Rfam family: Bacterial small subunit ribosomal RNA
Source: RNAcentral